Hordeum vulgare subsp. vulgare (domesticated barley) is the source of this 115-nucleotide non-coding RNA. NCBI's taxonomy places the organism in Eukaryota, Viridiplantae, Streptophyta, Magnoliopsida, Poales, Poaceae. The record is from Rfam.
UAUGUACUCCCUCCGUCCGGAAAUACUUGUCCUAAAAAUGGAUGAAUCUAGACUUAUUUUAGUUAUAGAUACAUCCAUUAGAUCCAUUUUUAGGACAAGUAGUUCCGGACGGAGG